RNAcentral lists this ribosomal RNA (253 nucleotides) under uncultured bacterium. Its description in RNAcentral is "partial 16S ribosomal RNA". It matches the Rfam family "Bacterial small subunit ribosomal RNA", at positions 524 to 776 of the family's 1533-position model. The record is from RNAcentral.
UACGAAGGGGGCUAGCGUUGCUCGGAAUCACUGGGCGUAAAGCGCACGUAGGCGGAUUGCUAAGUCAGGGGUGAAAUCCUGGAGCUCAACUCCAGAACUGCCCUUGAUACUGGCGGUCUCGAGUCCGGGAGAGGUGAGUGGAACUGCGAGUGUAGAGGUGAAAUUCGUAGAUAUUCGCAAGAACACCAGUGGCGAAGGCGGCUUACUGGUCCGGUUCUGACGCUGAGGCGCGAAAGCGUGGGGAGCAAACAGG